CUACGUGCCAGCAGCCGCGGUAAUACGGGGGGUGCGAGCGUUAAUCGGAAUAACUGGGCGUAAAGGGCACGCAGGCGGUGACUUAAGUGAGAUGUGAAAGCCCCGAGCUUAACUUGGGAAUUGCAUUUCAUACUGGGUCGCUAGAGUACUUUAGGGAGGGGUAGAAUUCCACGUGUAGCGGUGAAAUGCGUAGAGAUGUGGAGGAAUACCGAAGGCGAAGGCAGCCCCUUGGGAAUGUACUGACGCUCAUGUGCGAAAGCGUGGGGAGCAAACAGGAUUAGAUACCCUGGUAGUCCACGCUGUAAACGAUGUCGAUUUGGGGAUUGGGCUUUGAGCUUGGUGCCCGUAGCUAACGUGAUAAAUCGACCGCCUGGGGAGUACGGCCGCAAGGUUAAAACUCAAAUGAAUUGACGGGGGCCCGCACAAGCGGUGGAGCAUGUGGUUUAAUUCGAUGCAACGCGAAGAACCUUACCUACUCUUGACAUCCAUGGAAUCUUGUAGAGGUACGAGAGUGC
Molecule: ribosomal RNA, 515 nt
Filed under: uncultured bacterium
Lineage: Bacteria
Description: bacterial SSU rRNA
Rfam family: Bacterial small subunit ribosomal RNA
Source: RNAcentral